GGAUCAUUAAUGAGUUAGGGUCUUCUAGGCCCGACCUCCCAACCCUUUGUUUACUAGACCUCAGUUGCUUCGGCAGGCCCGUCUUAAUCUGACCGCCGGAGGACCGCCUAAUACGGGUGUUGCCUCUGGCCAGUGUCUGCCGAUAGCCUCAUCUCCUAAUUCUGGAUCAAUCAUGAUUUACAAUGUCUAAGUGAUUUUAUUCAAUUAAAGCAAAAACUUUCAACAACGGAUCUCUUGGUUCUGGCAUCGAUGAAGAACGCAGCGAAAUGCGAUAAGUAAUGCGAAUUGCAGAAUUCCCAGUGAGUCAUCGAAUCUUUGAACGCACAUUGCGCCCUUUGGUAUUCCGAAGGGCAUGCCUGUUCGAGCGUCAUUAUCACCCCUCAAGCCCCCGGCUUGGUGUUGGACGGUUUGGUGGAGGCCCCCUCGCGGGGCCACCGCCCCUCCCAAAGACAAUGACGGCGGCCUCGUUGGACCCCCGGUACACUGAGUUCUUCACGGGACACGUAUCGGACACAUGGGUUUACGGGACACGGUCUGCCUCCCCUCAGGGAGAAUCUUUCUAAGGUUGACCUCGGAUCAGGUAGGGAUACCCGCUGAACUUAAGCAUAUCAAUAAGCGGAGGAAAAGAAACCAACAGGGAUUGCCUCAGUAACGGCGAGUGAAGCGGCAACAGCUCAAAUUUGAAAUCUGGCCUCUUUGGGGUCCGAGUUGUAAUUUGUAGAGGAUGUUUCGGGUACCGCCUCGGUUUAAAUUUCUUGGAACAGAAUGUCAAAGAGGGUGAGAAUCCCGUCUUGGACCGGCGGUAGGGCCCAUGUGAAACUCCUUCGACGAGUCGAGUUGUUUGGGAAUGCAGCUCAAAAUGGGUGGUAAAUUUCAUCUAAAGCUAAAUAUUGGCCAGAGACCGAUAGCGCACAAGUAGAGUGAUCGAAAGAUGAAAAGCACUUUGAAAAGAGAGUUAAACAGUAUGUGAAAUUGUUGAAAGGGAAGCGCUUACAACCAGACUUGCGCGCGGCGGUUCCCCCUUCCUUUUGGUUGGGCUACUCCGUCGUGUCCAGGCCAACAUCGGUUCUGGGGGUCGGUUAAAGACCCUGGGAAUGUAUCUACCCUUCGGGCGUAGACUUAUAGCCCAGGGUGUCAUGCGGCCUCCCGGGACCGAGGAACGCGCUUCGGCUCGGAUGUUGGCGUAAUGGUUGUCAGCGACCCGUCUUGAAACACGGACCAAGGAGUCUAACAUCUAUGCGAGUGUUUGGGUGUCAAACCCGGAACGCGAAAUGAAAGUGAACGGAGGUAGGAAGCCUUGAGGCUGCACUAUCGACCGAUCCUGAUGUCUUCGGAUGGAUUUGAGUAAGAGCAUAGCUGUUGGGACCCGAAAGAUGGUGAACUAUGCCUGAAUAGGGUGAAGCCAGAGGAAACUCUGGUGGAGGCUCGCAGCGGUUCUGACGUGCAAAUCGAUCGUCAAAUUUGGGUAUAGGGGCGAAAGACUAAUCGAACCAU
RNAcentral lists this ribosomal RNA (1494 nucleotides) under Fonsecaea pedrosoi. RNAcentral's name for it is "eukaryotic LSU rRNA". The stretch from base 567 to 1494 matches the Rfam family "Eukaryotic large subunit ribosomal RNA", at positions 1 to 943 of the family's 3401-position model. Lineage: Eukaryota; Fungi; Ascomycota; Eurotiomycetes; Chaetothyriales; Herpotrichiellaceae. The record is from RNAcentral.